Molecule: small nuclear RNA, 111 nt
Filed under: Cavia aperea (Brazilian guinea pig)
Lineage: Eukaryota; Metazoa; Chordata; Mammalia; Rodentia; Caviidae
Source: RNAcentral
GUUCUCCCUCCGGGAGCACACACAGUGAACUGAAUGUGCAGUGGCACAGAGAAGAUUAGCGCGGUCCCUGUGCAAGAUGACAUGUGAAUUCAUAAAAGAAUUCCAAUGUAU